Molecule: ribosomal RNA, 531 nt
Filed under: uncultured bacterium
Lineage: Bacteria
Description: partial 16S ribosomal RNA
Rfam family: Bacterial small subunit ribosomal RNA
Source: RNAcentral
UGGGGAAUAUUGGACAAUGGGCGCAAGCCUGAUCCAGCCAUGCCGCGUGAGUGAUGAAGGCCUUAGGGUUGUAAAGCUCUUUCGCCGGUGAAGAUAAUGACGGUAACCGGAGAAGAAGCCCCGGCUAACUUCGUGCCAGCAGCCGCGGUAAUACGAAGGGGGCUAGCGUUGCUCGGAAUCACUGGGCGUAAAGCGCACGUAGGCGGAUCGUUAAGUCAGGGGUGAAAUCCUGGAGCUCAACUCCAGAACUGCCUUCUGAUACUGGCGAUCUCGAGUUCGAGAGAGGUUGGUGGAACUCCGAGUGUAGAGGUGAAAUUCGUAGAUAUUCGGAAGAACACCAGUGGCGAAGGCGGCCAACUGGCUCGAUACUGACGCUGAGGUGCGAAAGCGUGGGGAGCAAAACAGGAUUAGAUACCCUGGUAGUCCACGCCGUAAAACGAUGGAUGCUAGCCGUUGGGGGGUUUACCUCUCAGUGGCGCAGCUAACGCCUUAAGCAUCCCGCCUGGGGAGUACGGUCGCAAGAUUAAAACU